RNAcentral lists this long non-coding RNA (397 nucleotides) under Coffea arabica (coffee). Its description in RNAcentral is "long non-coding RNA (CARA_LNC004362)". The record is from RNAcentral. Lineage: Eukaryota; Viridiplantae; Streptophyta; Magnoliopsida; Gentianales; Rubiaceae.
UGCGUCAUUGUAAAGUUAAAGGUCUUGAAUUAUGCAGCAGCAUUUACAAUUUAGAAAUGAUACUUAAAACAAAAUUUGAAUAUAUAAAACAAAUGGAGAAUUUGUAAAUUUACAAGGCACACAUGACUACCUAUUCGCUUCAAUCUCAAUGUGAAGUUAAAUUUGCAGCUUGGACUCCAUAUACUUGUCUACUAGAUUGUAGGAAUUCAAUGUGUCAUCUCUAUAGGCAUGUACUGUAUAUGAUCCCAUACUGGGUAAGCAGAGGUUUGGUCUUACCAUCCAUUUUGGUUGCCUCCCUAAUUUUCUGCCCUUCAAACUUCUCAACUAUACAGUCAGUUGCAACUUCUCCUCAUUGUUCAUUAUCUUUAGUUAACUUUCUUUUGGUUCUAACCAUGAU